Rosa rugosa (rugosa rose) is the source of this 1774-nucleotide long non-coding RNA. RefSeq lists it as uncharacterized. The record is from RefSeq and is a predicted model, not a curated record. The transcript has 6 exons. Lineage: Eukaryota; Viridiplantae; Streptophyta; Magnoliopsida; Rosales; Rosaceae.
CCCCCCAAUUUUGCUCUAGGCGAUGGAGGAAAUCGUUCUGGGUUUCGGCGGUCUGGGCGCUGGGCGUCGAUCUAUAAUAUUUUUAACCCAGACAUAUCUCUUCUCUCCUCCAAUCUGUCCCUCUCUCUCUCUCCCCUUCGAUCGGUGAAAACUCGGAAGUAAGUCUCUCUUUCUUUCUCUCAAACCUCUGGUGUCUGCCAGAGUUUCUAUUCAUUUAAUCAUUUAUAACUAUAUGUUGAUUAUCUUGAAUAUUUUGGCCAUUAUAUUCUGGGUCUUUUCAAAUUGAAUGAAUAUAUGUUGAACUGUUUUCCAAGAGGAAGCAAGAUUGGGGAACAAAGAAAAAAUCAAACUCUGUAAUUAGGGUUUUAGAGAGACACAGUAAUAUGGACCAUGGCCUUCGUCCCAGACAGAGGGAUUUCUUCAUUGGCUUCACAAAGGGCCAGUUGCAGCUCUGCUGAUCUCCAAAAGCCAGCUGAACUGGAUGGGAAGGCAUGUGCAGCUGUUGGACAGCCUGAUCUGAUGGCUCUCUUUAAGUCCGUGUUUAGUGAGAAUGUGACACAAGCUUAGUGUCUUGUCACAGAAAGUGACUUUAGGGGUAAAGAUUUUCAAAGGCAGCUGAAAGAAACGGUCGAUCACUUGCUGUCUUUAAAGACUAUACCUAUAUUCAAUGAAAAUGAUGCAGUUAGUACCAGAACAGAUUUAUGUGAGGAUUCUUCUGGUAUAUUUUGGGACAAUGACAGUUUGGCAGCUAUACUAGCUAAGGAGCUAAAGGCUGAUCUUCUUAUCCUUAUGAGUGAUGUGGAGGGUCUCUACAGUGGGCCUCCCAAGUGACACAAAUUCAGAGCUCAUUCAUUCAUACAUACAUAAAGGAGAGGCAUCAAGGCGGAGUCACUUGUGGAGUAAAAUCAAGAAUGGGACGAGGGGAAUGGCUGCGAAAGUAAAGGCUGCUGUUGAUGCAGCUUCUGCUGGCAUCCCUGUUGUCAUCACCAGGUGUUCUUCAAGACUUGGUUGGUGUCAUCAUUUUAUGAAAUUUUGUUAGAAAACUAGUGCAAUAUUAAUAUGACUAUAUCAAUAGUCUUUUAGACAAUGACAAACCUGCAUGCCAUAAUGGAAUUCAAUUUCUGAUAUUGAGAUUGUAUAUUGGGACUUCUCUUUAUUUGUCUUCACCAUAAUGAACAGAUGGAGAGAAUGGACAAAUUGGUGAGGGAGUCCGGAGAAGCAGUACUUGCCAAGAAUUUUGUCAAAAUUUGGCAAAAAGUUUUAAUGUUGAUUUAGCUUGGUGAAGCUGAUGAUUGGGAAAUAUAUCAAAAAGUGAUUGGUGGGCCUAGUCACGGUCGUGUACUUGGUUUAGGUGCUGGGGUGAAACUAAAAGAUUACACUUCACCUAACCAAACUUGUAAUAAGCCUACAUGUUUGGAACAAAAAGAAGAUUAUGAAAGAGUGAAAGGACAAGUUGAAUCUCUGACAGAUAAAUUGGACAAGGGACUCAAAUUGUUCAAAGUUUGCUGCCUAAUACCUCAGACAAUUCUAAAGCAAGAAACUCACAUUCUGUGACAAUAUUGCAACAGAUUCAAGUGCACACCAUGAUGAAGAUGUUGCUGAUGAAUAUGAUGCAAACUCUAAUGAGGACUUUUGUUAGAUAUAUUGUUAGCUUCCUUGCUUAAGAAAUGAUUAUAUUAUAAAGACCAAAUUUUGAAUAUUUAUCUUUGUUUGAACAUAUGUAUGAAUGAUUAACUAUGUUUCUUCUAAUGCAAUUUUUUUUAUGAAGAUUUAA